This 440-nucleotide ribosomal RNA is filed under the name uncultured bacterium. Its description in RNAcentral is "partial 16S ribosomal RNA". It matches the Rfam family "Bacterial small subunit ribosomal RNA", at positions 338 to 795 of the family's 1533-position model. The record is from RNAcentral.
CCUACGGGAGGCAGCAGUGGGGGAUAUUGCACAAUGGGGGGAACCCUGAUGCAGCGACGCCGCGUGGGUGAAGAAGGGCCUCGGCGCGUAAAGCCCUGUCAGCAGGGAAGAAAAGGACGGUACCUGAAGAAGAAGCCCCGGCUAACUACGUGCCAGCAGCCGCGGUAAUACGUAGGGGGCAAGCGUUAUCCGGAUUUACUGGGUGGAAAGGGGGCGCAGACGGCGAUGCAAGCCAGGAGUGAAAGCCCGGGGCCCAACCCCGGGACUGCUCUUGGAACUGCGUGGCUGGAGUGCAGGAGGGGCAGGCGGAAUUCCUGGUGUAGCGGUGAAAUGCGUAGAUAUCAGGAGGAACACCGGUGGCGAAGGCGGCCUGCUGGACUGCAACUGACGUUGAGGCCCGAAAGCGUGGGGAGCAAACAGGAUUAGAUACCCUAGUAGUC